This 622-nucleotide ribosomal RNA is filed under the name Akkermansia muciniphila. RNAcentral describes it as "bacterial SSU rRNA". It matches the Rfam family "Bacterial small subunit ribosomal RNA", at positions 37 to 680 of the family's 1533-position model. Lineage: Bacteria; Pseudomonadati; Verrucomicrobiota; Verrucomicrobiia; Verrucomicrobiales; Akkermansiaceae. The record is from RNAcentral.
UGGCGGCGUGGUUAAGACAUGCAAGUCGAACGAGAGAAUUGCUAGCUUGCUAAUAAUUCUCUAGUGGCGCACGGGUGAGUAACACGUGAGUAACCUGCCCCCGAGAGCGGGAUAGCCCUGGGAAACUGGGAUUAAUACCGCAUAGUAUCGAAAGAUUAAAGCAGCAAUGCGCUUGGGGAUGGGCUCGCGGCCUAUUAGUUAGUUGGUGAGGUAACGGCUCACCAAGGCGAUGACGGGUAGCCGGUCUGAGAGGAUGUCCGGCCACACUGGAACUGAGACACGGUCCAGACACCUACGGGUGGCAGCAGUCGAGAAUCAUUCACAAUGGGGGAAACCCUGAUGGUGCGACGCCGCGUGGGGGAAUGAAGGUCUUCGGAUUGUAAACCCCUGUCAUGUGGGAGCAAAUUAAAAAGAUAGUACCACAAGAGGAAGAGACGGCUAACUCUGUGCCAGCAGCCGCGGUAAUACAGAGGUCUCAAGCGUUGUUCGGAAUCACUGGGCGUAAAGCGUGCGUAGGCUGUUUCGUAAGUCGUGUGUGAAAGGCGCGGGCUCAACCCGCGGACGGCACAUGAUACUGCGAGAUUAGAGUAAUGGAGGGGGAACCGGAAUUCACGGUGUAGCA